GGAAUUUUCCGCAAUGGGCGAAAGCCUGACGGAGCAAUACCGCGUGAGGGAAGACGGCCCAUGGGUUGUAAACCUCUUUUUUCAGGGAGGAAUAAAUGACGUGUACCUGAAGAAUAAGCAUCGGCUAACUCCGUGCCAGCAGCCGCGGUAAGACGGAGGAUGCAAGUGUUAUCCGGAAUCACUGGGCGUAAAGCGUCUGUAGGUGGUUUAAUAAGUCAACUGUUAAAUCUUGAGGCUCAACUUCAAAAUCGCAGUCGAAACUAUUAGACUAGAGUAUAGUAGGGGUAAAGGGAAUUUCCAGUGGAGCGGUGAAAUGCGUAGAUAUUGGAAAGAACACCGAUGGCGAGGGCACUUUACUGGGCUAUUACUAACACUCAGAGACGAAAGCUAGGGUAGCAAAUGGGAUUAGAUACCCCUGUAGUC
RNAcentral lists this ribosomal RNA (423 nucleotides) under uncultured eukaryotic phytoplankton. Its description in RNAcentral is "bacterial SSU rRNA". It matches the Rfam family "Bacterial small subunit ribosomal RNA", at positions 358 to 795 of the family's 1533-position model. The record is from RNAcentral.